GGUUAAGCGACUAAGCGUACACGGUGGAUGCCCUGGCAGUCAGAGGCGAUGAAGGGCGUGCUAAUCUGCGAUAAGCGCCGGUAAGGUGAUAUGAACCGUUAUAACCGGCGAUACCCGAAUGGGGAAACCCAGUGUGAUUCGUCACACUAUCAUUAACUGAAUCCAUAGGUUAAUGAGGCGAACCGGGGGAACUGAAACAUCUAAGUACCCCGAGGAAAAGAAAUCAACCGAGAUUCCCCCAGUAGCGGCGAGCGAACGGGGAGGAGCCCAGAGCCUGAAUCAGCAUGUGUGUUAGUGGAAGCGUCUGGAAAGGCGCGCGAUACAGGGUGACAGCCCCGUACACAAAAGCGCAUGUGCUGUGAGCUCGAUGAGUAGGGCGGGACACGUGGUAUCCUGUCUGAAUAUGGGGGGACCAUCCUCCAAGGCUAAAUACUCCUGACUGACCGAUAGUGAACCAGUACCGUGAGGGAAAGGCGAAAAGAACCCCGGCGAGGGGAGUGAAAAAGAACCUGAAACCGUGUACGUACAAGCAGUGGGAGCACAGGUUUACCUGUGUGACUGCGUACCUUUUGUAUAAUGGGUCAGCGACUUAUAUUCUGUAGCAAGGUUAACCGAAUAGGGGAGCCGGAGGGAAACCGAGUCUUAACCGGGCGUUAAGUUGCAGGGUAUAGACCCGAAACCCGGUGAUCUAGCCAUGGGCAGGUUGAAGGUUGGGUAACACUAACUGGAGGACCGAACCGACUAAUGUUGAAAAAUUAGCGGAUGACCUGUGGCUGGGGGUGAAAGGCCAAUCAAACCGGGAGAUAGCUGGUUCUCCCCGAAAGCUAUUUAGGUAGCGCCUCGUGAAUUCAUCUCCGGGGGUAGAGCACUGUUUCGGCUAGGGGGCCAUCCCGGCUUACCAACCCGAUGCAAACUGCGAAUACCGGAGAAUGUUAUCACGGGAGACACACGGCGGGUGCUAACGUCCGUCGUGAAGAGGGAAACAACCCAGACCGCCAGCUAAGGUCCCAAAGUCAUGGUUAAGUGGGAAACGAUGUGGGAAGGCCCAGACAGCCAGGAUGUUGGCUUAGAAGCAGCCAUCAUUUAAAGAAAGCGUAAUAGCUCACUGGUCGAGUCGGCCUGCGCGGAAGAUGUAACGGGGCUAAACCAUGCACCGAAGCUGCGGCAGCGACGCUUAUGCGUUGUUGGGUAGGGGAGCGUUCUGUAAGCCUGUGAAGGUGUGUCGUGAGGCAUGCUGGAGGUAUCAGAAGUGCGAAUGCUGACAUAAGUAACGAUAAAGCGGGUGAAAAGCCCGCUCGCCGGAAGACCAAGGGUUCCUGUCCAACGUUAAUCGGGGCAGGGUGAGUCGACCCCUAAGGCGAGGCCGAAAGGCGUAGUCGAUGGGAAACGGGUUAAUAUUCCCGUACUUGGUGUUACUGCGAAGGGGGGACGGAGAAGGCUAUGUUGGCCGGGCGACGGUUGUCCCGGUUUAAGCGUGUAGGUGUGUGUUCUAGGUAAAUCCGGUUCACUUUAACACUGAGGCGUGAUGACGAGGCACUACGGUGCUGAAGUAACAAAUGCCCUGCUUCCAGGAAAAGCCUCUAAGCAUCAGGUAACAUCAAAUCGUACCCCAAACCGACACAGGUGGUCAGGUAGAGAAUACCAAGGCGCUUGAGAGAACUCGGGUGAAGGAACUAGGCAAAAUGGUGCCGUAACUUCGGGAGAAGGCACGCUGACACGUAGGUGAAGUGAUUUACUCAUGGAGCUGAAGUCAGUCGAAGAUACCAGCUGGCUGCAACUGUUUAUUAAAAACACAGCACUGUGCAAACACGAAAGUGGACGUAUACGGUGUGACGCCUGCCCGGUGCCGGAAGGUUAAUUGAUGGGGUCAGCGCAAGCGAAGCUCCUGAUCGAAGCCCCGGUAAACGGCGGCCGUAACUAUAACGGUCCUAAGGUAGCGAAAUUCCUUGUCGGGUAAGUUCCGACCUGCACGAAUGGCGUAAUGAUGGCCAGGCUGUCUCCACCCGAGACUCAGUGAAAUUGAACUCGCUGUGAAGAUGCAGUGUACCCGCGGCAAGACGGAAAGACCCCGUGAACCUUUACUAUAGCUUGACACUGAACAUUGAGCCUUGAUGUGUAGGAUAGGUGGGAGGCUUUGAAGCGUGGACGCCAGUCUGCGUGGAGCCGACCUUGAAAUACCACCCUUUAAUGUUUGAUGUUCUAACGUGGACCCGUGAUCCGGGUUGCGGACAGUGUCUGGUGGGUAGUUUGACUGGGGCGGUCUCCUCCUAAAGAGUAACGGAGGAGCACGAAGGUUGGCUAAUCCUGGUCGGACAUCAGGAGGUUAGUGCAAUGGCAUAAGCCAGCUUGACUGCGAGCGUGACGGCGCGAGCAGGUGCGAAAGCAGGUCAUAGUGAUCCGGUGGUUCUGAAUGGAAGGGCCAUCGCUCAACGGAUAAAAGGUACUCCGGGGAUAACAGGCUGAUACCGCCCAAGAGUUCAUAUCGACGGCGGUGUUUGGCACCUCGAUGUCGGCUCAUCACAUCCUGGGGCUGAAGUAGGUCCCAAGGGUAUGGCUGUUCGCCAUUUAAAGUGGUACGCGAGCUGGGUUUAGAACGUCGUGAGACAGUUCGGUCCCUAUCUGCCGUGGGCGCUGGAGAACUGAGGGGGGCUGCUCCUAGUACGAGAGGACCGGAGUGGACGCAUCACUGGUGUUCGGGUUGUCAUGCCAAUGGCACUGCCCGGUAGCUAAAUGCGGAAGAGAUAAGUGCUGAAAGCAUCUAAGCACGAAACUUGCCCCGAGAUGAGUUCUCCCUGAGACUUAGAGUCUCCUGAAGGAACGUUGAAGACGACGACGUUGAUAGGCCGGGUGUGUAAGCGCAGCGAUGCGUUGAGCUAACCGGUACUAAUGAACCGUGAGGCUUAACCUU
Molecule: ribosomal RNA, 2908 nt
Filed under: Salmonella enterica subsp. enterica serovar Dublin str. CT_02021853
Lineage: Bacteria; Pseudomonadati; Pseudomonadota; Gammaproteobacteria; Enterobacterales; Enterobacteriaceae
Description: bacterial LSU rRNA
Rfam family: Bacterial large subunit ribosomal RNA
Source: RNAcentral